UAGGGAAUCUUCCGCAAUGGGCGAAAGCUUGACGGAGCAACGCCGCGUGAGUGAUGAAGGUCUUCGGAUCGUAAAACUCUGUUAUUAGGGAAGAACAAAUGUGUAAGUAACUAUGCACGUCUUGACGGUACCUAAUCAGAAAGCCACGGCUAACUACGUGCCAGCAGCCGCGGUAAUACGGAGGUGGCAAGCGUUAUCCGGAAUUAUUGGGCGUAAAGCGCGCGUAGGCGGUUUUUUAAGUCUGAUGUGAAAGCCCACGGCUCAACCGUGGAGGGUCCUUGGAAACUGGAAAACUUGAGUGCAGAAGAGUAAAGUGGAAUUCCAUGUGUAGCGGUGAAAUGCGCCGAGAUAUGGAGGAACACCAGUGGCGAAGGCGACUUUCUGGUCUGUAACUGACGCUGAUGUGCGAAAGCGUGGGGAUCAAACAGG
This 429-nucleotide ribosomal RNA is filed under the name Actinomycetes bacterium. RNAcentral's name for it is "Actinobacteria bacterium partial 16S ribosomal RNA". It matches the Rfam family "Bacterial small subunit ribosomal RNA", at positions 355 to 776 of the family's 1533-position model. The record is from RNAcentral. Lineage: Bacteria; Bacillati; Actinomycetota; Actinomycetes.